CCUACGGGAGGCAGCAGUGAGGAAUAUUGGUCAAUGGGCGGGAGCCUGAACCAGCCAAGCCGCGUGAGGGAAGAAGGUACAGCGUAUCGUAAACCUCUUUUGUCAGGGAACAAAGGCGGGGACUAGUCCCCUGAUGAGGGUACCUGAAGAAAAAGCAUCGGCUAACUCCGUGCCAGCAGCCGCGGUAAUACGGAGGAUGCGAGCGUUAUCCGGAUUUAUUGGGUUUAAAGGGUGCGCAGGCGGCCUGUUAAGUCAGCGGUAAAAGCUCGGGGCUCAACCCCGGCGAGCCGUUGAAACUGGCGGGCUGGAGUUGGAGAGAGGUAGGCGGAAUGCGCGGUGUAGCGGUGAAAUGCUUAGAUAUCGCGCAGAACCCCGAUUGCGAAGGCAGCGUACCGGCUCCACACUGACGCUGAGGCACGAAAGCGUGGGUAUCGAACAGGAUUAGAUACCCGAGUAGUC
This 459-nucleotide ribosomal RNA is filed under the name uncultured bacterium. RNAcentral describes it as "partial 16S ribosomal RNA". It matches the Rfam family "Bacterial small subunit ribosomal RNA", at positions 338 to 795 of the family's 1533-position model. The record is from RNAcentral.